UACGUAGGUCCCGAGCGUUGUCCGGAUUUAUUGGGCGUAAAGCGAGCGCAGGUGGUUUAUUAAGUCUGGUGUAAAAGGCAGUGGCUCAACCAUUGUAUGCAUUGGAAACUGUUUUUCUUGAGUACUGGAGAGGCAGACGGAAUUCCUCGUGUAGCGGUGAAAUGCGUAGAUAUGAGGAGGAACACCAGUGGCGAAGGCGGUCUGCUGGACAGCAACUGACGCUGAGGCGCGAAAGCGUGGGGAGCAAACAGG
This 252-nucleotide ribosomal RNA is filed under the name uncultured bacterium. Its description in RNAcentral is "partial 16S ribosomal RNA". It matches the Rfam family "Bacterial small subunit ribosomal RNA", at positions 524 to 776 of the family's 1533-position model. The record is from RNAcentral.